AUGAGCUUUCUUUGAAAGAUGAACAGUCAGAUGCAUCAUAACAUCAAAAAAUGAUGGUGAAAAUUUUUUUUCUAACUUAUAAAGAAUGAAUACGAUAUCCUUCUUAGAUCUCUCAAGUAUGGUAAUCUUCAAUUUUUGACAACAUAAUUUUCAAAAAAAUACUCCUAGCUAAAUCAAUGCAGUUUGAACAUCCCCAUCAAAAUAGCCAUGC
This 211-nucleotide long non-coding RNA is filed under the name Elaeis guineensis (African oil palm). RNAcentral describes it as "long non-coding RNA (EGUI_LNC035158)". Lineage: Eukaryota; Viridiplantae; Streptophyta; Magnoliopsida; Arecales; Arecaceae. The record is from RNAcentral.